GAAGAUCCUGUGCAAUAUAUAUGCUGAACAUUGAAGGCUGUGUUCAGCAACUUUCUGAAGUGUUCCUUUGUGCGUGUCCCUAGUGCACAUGUAAAACUCUGAGCAAUCAACAAUUUGGAUUGCUGUCUUGUACUUGCAAAGUGAAACACGGGAAAUCUAUGUGUGUUUAGAAUAAACCGGAAGGUGAUUUUUAAUCAACCAAUCCAACAAAGAGGUGACAGUGAGAAUAGUGGCUCCCAAACUUGGACUUUGCAGCUGUGGCACCUUAGCCGGAUGGUCUCCCCCUCCUGGAAUACCCAGCGAGAC
This is a long non-coding RNA of Hyaena hyaena (striped hyena), 306 nucleotides long. RefSeq lists it as uncharacterized. The transcript has 3 exons. The record is from RefSeq and is a predicted model, not a curated record. Lineage: Eukaryota; Metazoa; Chordata; Mammalia; Carnivora; Hyaenidae.